This 259-nucleotide ribosomal RNA is filed under the name uncultured bacterium. Its description in RNAcentral is "partial 16S ribosomal RNA". It matches the Rfam family "Bacterial small subunit ribosomal RNA", at positions 57 to 305 of the family's 1533-position model. The record is from RNAcentral.
GCAAGUCGAACGGAACUUAUUUUUCUAGAGAUGCGAUUACAUCAAGUCAAAAGUCGUUUAAGUUUAGUGGCGAACGAGGUAGUACAAAAUAGGAACAAACCCCUUAGUCGUGAAUAGCCUGCCGAAAGGCAGAGUAAUACACGAUGGUCUCGCAAGAGUGAAGUUUUAACGCUAAGGGAUUGGCCUGUUCGAUAUCAGCUAGUUGGCGAGGUAAAGGCUCACCAAGGCUAUGACGUCUAGGGGCGCUGAGAGGCGGACC